GUGAGCCAGUACAGGAUGGACCCGCGUCUGAUUAGCUAGUUGGUAAGGUAACGGCUUACCAAGGCGACGAUCAGUAGCCGACCUGAGAGGGUGAUCGGCCACAUUGGAACUGAGACACGGUCCAAACUCCUACGGGAGGCAGCAGUGGGGAAUAUUGCACAAUGGGCGAAAGCCUGAUGCAGCAACGCCGCGGGAGUGAUGAAGGCCUUCGGGUCGUAAAACUCUGUCCUCAAGGAAGAUAAUGACGGUACUUGAGGAGGAAGCCCCGGCUAACUACGUGCCAGCAGCCGCGGUAAUACGUCGGGGGCUAGCGUUAUCCGGAUUUACUGGGCGUAAAGGGUGCGUAGGCGGUCUUUCAAGGCAGGAGUGAAAGGCUACGGCUCAACCGUAGUAAGCUCUUGAAACUGGGAGACUUGAGUGCAGGAGAGG
This 429-nucleotide ribosomal RNA is filed under the name Clostridioides difficile. RNAcentral's name for it is "bacterial SSU rRNA". It matches the Rfam family "Bacterial small subunit ribosomal RNA", at positions 210 to 657 of the family's 1533-position model. The record is from RNAcentral. Lineage: Bacteria; Bacillati; Bacillota; Clostridia; Peptostreptococcales; Peptostreptococcaceae.